This is a long non-coding RNA of Clupea harengus (Atlantic herring), 405 nucleotides long. NCBI's taxonomy places the organism in Eukaryota, Metazoa, Chordata, Actinopteri, Clupeiformes, Clupeidae. The record is from Ensembl.
UCUCGAAGGAAUAGGACUUUUCUGAUUUUGGUGGACAGGAGAUGGAGAUGUGCUGAUGCCACCUUCUGCGCCUAGAGGAAGAACUGAAGCAAGUGUGGCGGUUCAGUAGUCUUAUCAGGGAAAAGACUUCCUCCACCUACAACAGCUUAAGGUAGAAGGAGGAGAAAGGAAGAGACAGCAUGAAAGAAACAGAUUUGUGUGCAGAUAAACAUUCAAUUAAAUGGAUACAUAUCCACAGUGUGGCAGCAUAUGUAAAUGUAUAUGACAUAUCAGGCAAUAUAGGAGAAGAUGAUUUCAAAAGACCUCCGCAUGAAGUUUAUUACUCGUGGGAUAACAACACAGCUUGGUGGACAGAGGCAGAAGGGAUUUCGGUAUUACCCUAGACGAGUCCUUUUUGAAAGUAAC